Long non-coding RNA from Cannabis sativa, 852 nucleotides. RefSeq lists it as uncharacterized. The transcript is spliced from 2 exons. The record is from RefSeq and is a predicted model, not a curated record. NCBI's taxonomy places the organism in Eukaryota, Viridiplantae, Streptophyta, Magnoliopsida, Rosales, Cannabaceae.
GAGUCAUCAAUCAAUUCUUCUAAACUUUUUAUAUAUACAAAUUGAAUCAAGACCAAGGCAGUAUACUGCCGUAAUAAACAAAAAAAAUAAAAACAAUAAAAAAGUUAACUUUGCCGUGUUACAGUAUAUUUGAAAGAAAAAUAGAAAAGUUAGUAAAUGAUGUAAAUUUUCCUAUAGUGAUUCGGCCCAAAACAAGCCCAAGAAGAGAAAGUCAAAUAAGAGUCAAAUGAGUCUCCUUGUUUGUAUUCUUCAACCUAUCUCUCCUUCCUCAAACUCACGGCUAUGGCUUUUUUAGGGUUCUUACUACUGAGACAAAGCUUGGGAAAUUGUUUCUAUGGGUUCUCUAAUGUCUUCUCUUCUACCCCCACAAAAUGGUUAGGGUUAUAGGUCUAGGUUUUCUUUCUUUUCUGCUGUCUCAACCCACAACAACAAAUCACUCUUACCCAGAAAACAACCUUGAAAAUCUCACGCCUCAAACACUAAGAACAGAACCCAGAAACUUUCUUGCCAAACUAGUAGCAACAACACAUUACAGAGUAGUAUGGUCUCGUGCGGAUCUUCUCUUAGCCAACAAAAUCAAGAGGAGAAAAAGAAAGAACAAAACAAUACUGAAGAAGGAAAAAGUACAAAGAAGAGAGAGCUUAAAACAACUGCUCUAUGAGAAGAGAGAAGGAAGAGUGGAUGGAAUGUCGUUCAAAGAAAGGAGGAAGGGAGAGGGUGAAGCACUGCAUAAAUUUUUAGCAGGAAACGAUGGUAAUAAACCUUGAUACUUACUGUUGGAGAAACUAACUUUUCAUUUUCAUGGAGUUUCGCCAAAAUUUCAAGAAUCAUACUAAUUGCAUCCACAGAUUA